Molecule: long non-coding RNA, 1034 nt
Organism: Helianthus annuus (common sunflower)
Lineage: Eukaryota; Viridiplantae; Streptophyta; Magnoliopsida; Asterales; Asteraceae
Exons: 4
Source: RefSeq, a predicted model, not a curated record
UAAUUUCCAAAAAAUAAAAUUUCCCUCCCCUAAAAAUUCAUAUCCCGCCCCUUUCCUCUUUCCCUCUUUUAACAAAAUUUAGCCUUAUCUCCUCCUUCCCUGAAAUCAACUCUAGCAAAGAUCUGAAACCCACCUUCACACAUAACAUCUCGGUUCACCAUCAUAGAUCUUAAGCCCAAAUUCAACCUUGAUUCUAAGUAACCCAUUACCACAUCCAAAUCCAACAUCUCAGUUCACCACCAUUUUCCCCCAAAACCCACCAUCAUCAUAGAUCUGAAACCCGGGUCUCCCCACUCCACCCGCUUUGAAUCUGGUAUGUUUUCCGAAUCACGAUUUCGUUUUAUAGUUCAUUGUAAUUUUGUACGGUUUAUUUAUUCAUUAUGUGCUGGUUAGAUCUAGGGCAAAUGUGUUGUGUUGUUGUUGAUUGUAGAUGUUGUCUUUUAGUGGUGGGUGGCAGAUGAGAUGUUACUUGAGAAAAAUCUUGCUUCAGGUAUACGAAGAAGGAGGAAGACAAGGAAAGGAAGAAGAAAGAUUUUUAGGGUUUUUUUUAUGGGCUUUGGGCUGGGCUGGGCUCAACUCAAAAGGUACGAAGAGGCAUUUUCCCCAAAAAAGUAGACCCACCCAAGAAACAUUUGGAGAUUCUUAUGUUUGGAGAACUUAUCAAAUGGUAACUAAUUAAUAUAAUCAACAAUUCUCUAUUAGAAUCUGAGGUUUGAAUGUGAAAAGAGGAAGGGGAGAACAAGGAAACCAAGAAAAAAAAUGAGUUAACCUUCAGUAAAUAGCUUCAAAAUCUUGUUACCUCAUCGAUAUGCUUUCAGUUGUAAGGAACAAAAGGGCUACGGAUAAUGAUAUAGAUGUUUUGUUGAUGACGUUGAUGUCGAAGUUUUUUAGCGAGUUAGGUAUUUCGUUAGUUUAGCUUUAUAUAUAGAUUAUAUGUAGUUUAUUUAUACAGUUUUAUGUAGUUUGUUAUGCAUUCAACAAAUGAUUGUAAUUUGACCGGUUUAUUUCCGAAUUGGAUGUCUACGGGUUUAUUU